GACGAGGGAUCCUAGCGUUGUUCGGAAUCAUUGGGCGUAAAGCGGAUGUAGGUGGCUUUGUAAGUCAGGUGUGAAAGCCCCGGGCUCAACCCGGGAAGUGCAUUUGAUACUGCGAAGCUUGAGUGCUAGAGAGGUUACUAGAAUACCUGGUGUAGUGGUGAAAUACGUAGAUAUCAGGUGGAAUACCGGAGGCGAAGGCGGGUAACCAGCUAGACACUGACACUCAGAUCCGAAAGUGUGGGGAUCAAACAGG
Molecule: ribosomal RNA, 253 nt
Filed under: uncultured bacterium
Lineage: Bacteria
Also listed under: 1 other name
Description: partial 16S ribosomal RNA
Rfam family: Bacterial small subunit ribosomal RNA
Source: RNAcentral